Ciona intestinalis (vase tunicate) is the source of this 626-nucleotide non-coding RNA. The record is from RefSeq and is a predicted model, not a curated record. NCBI's taxonomy places the organism in Eukaryota, Metazoa, Chordata, Ascidiacea, Phlebobranchia, Cionidae.
CCCAUCUUCUCCCAUUACUAUAUGUGAUAAAUUUUUAGUUUGCACGAGGCAUAUGAAACAGAAUAGAAGCGCUAAUAGCGACACUGUCCUUUCUCCGUUACGCGAGCAAUACAUAAGGUAUAUUUAUUCAUUUACUUGUGGUUUUCAGAUGCAUUUUUAUACCUUUAUCACGUAUUCAUUUUGUAUAGUAACCAUGUAAAAGCUAAACUAUCUCAUUACACAAAGAAAUUCAUCUAUUUCUAACAAAGCUGCAGAAAUUAUUUUAGAUAAGAAAAAAGAAAAAAAUCGAUACUUCGGAAACAAACUUUUUUUUAGUGUGAACGGCUAUAUUACGCGUCGUUUUGUACUGUACCAUCACUUCUCCAGAAAACAACAUGAACCAAUCGGCACUUCUUCUUUUGCUACUCAUUGGACUCCUAGUCUUCAUUGAAACCACGAAUUCAUGGGAUCUGAACCUUUUUCGUCGUCGUCGCCAAUGGAAAAGAUGGACCGAGUGGAAUCAAGGCAGAACAGAAAAGCUUGAAGAACUGGAUGAAAUUCUUGUGGCAAAUGACGAAAACUAAAAUGCCAUAUGCUAAAUCGUAUUUGUAACUUGCUUGUUUGUUGAAUAAAGCAUUACAAAGUUA